Molecule: ribosomal RNA, 411 nt
Filed under: uncultured microorganism
Description: bacterial SSU rRNA
Rfam family: Bacterial small subunit ribosomal RNA
Source: RNAcentral
GAGUUUGAUCGUGGCUCAGAUUGAACGCUGGCGGCAUGCCUUACACAUGCAAGUCGAACGGCAGCAUGAUCUAGCUUGCUAGAUUGAUGGCGAGUGGCGAACGGGUGAGUAAUACAUCGGAACAUGCCCUGUAGUGGGGGAUAACUAGUCGAAAGAUUAGCUAAUACCGCAUACGACCUGAGGGUGAAAGUGGGGGACCGCAAGGCCUCAUGCUAUAGGAGCGGCCGAUGUCUGAUUAGCUAGUUGGUGGGGUAAAGGCCCACCAAGGCGACGAUCAGUAGCUGGUCUGAGAGGACGAUCAGCCACACUGGGACUGAGACACGGCCCAGACUCCUACGGGAGGCAGCAGUGGGGAAUUUUGGACAAUGGGCGAAAGCCUGAUCCAGCAAUGCCGCGUGUGUGAAGAAGGCC